CGGUUGUUCCGCCAGGAGCACCGCCGGGUAGCCGCGUCUGGCAAGGAUAAGUGCUGAAAGCAUCUAAGCACGAAGCCUCCCUCAAGAUAAGAUCUCCACUUCAAAGGGCCGUCAGAGACGAUGACGUUGAUAGGUCGCAGGUGCAGGGGCUGCAAGGUCCACAGCCGAGCGAUACUAAUCGCCCAAACCCUUUCUUAC
Molecule: ribosomal RNA, 198 nt
Filed under: Muribaculaceae bacterium
Lineage: Bacteria; Pseudomonadati; Bacteroidota; Bacteroidia; Bacteroidales; Muribaculaceae
Description: partial 23S ribosomal RNA
Rfam family: Bacterial large subunit ribosomal RNA
Source: RNAcentral